Molecule: transfer RNA, 72 nt
Filed under: Candidatus Methanophagales archaeon
Lineage: Archaea; Methanobacteriati; Methanobacteriota; Methanomicrobia; Candidatus Methanophagales
Description: tRNA-Cys
Rfam family: tRNA
About the family: Transfer RNA (tRNA) molecules are approximately 80 nucleotides in length. Their secondary structure includes four short double-helical elements and three loops (D, anti-codon, and T loops). Further hydrogen bonds mediate the characteristic L-shaped molecular structure. tRNAs have two regions of fundamental functional importance: the anti-codon, which is responsible for specific mRNA codon recognition, and the 3' end, to which the tRNAs corresponding amino acid is attached (by aminoacyl-tRNA synthetases). tRNAs cope with the degeneracy of the genetic code in two manners: having more than one tRNA (with a specific anti-codon) for a particular amino acid; and 'wobble' base-pairing, i.e. permitting non-standard base-pairing at the 3rd anti-codon position.
Source: RNAcentral
GCCGGGAUGACCGAGUGGCUUAGGUGCGCGGCUGCAGACCGCGAUAUUUGGGUUCGAAUCCCAAUCCCGGCC